UGCUCAGUAGUCAGUGUAGGAUCUGUCUGACCACACGAACAGCUACAUCUGAUUACUGGGUCUC
RNAcentral lists this microRNA precursor (64 nucleotides) under Gekko japonicus. RNAcentral's name for it is "Gja-Mir-221-P1c_pre stem-loop". It matches the Rfam family "mir-221 microRNA precursor family", at positions 10 to 73 of the family's 84-position model. Lineage: Eukaryota; Metazoa; Chordata; Lepidosauria; Squamata; Gekkonidae. The record is from RNAcentral.